AUUCGAUCUUUAAGACUCUUUCUACCACACUUCGUGCAAGUCUUCCCUCUCCUGGCUCCAAGAGGUGUUGCCAAAGGAGAUUACCAUCUGAGUCAGUGGACUGGGAGAGACAGACCCACCCUCAGUCUGGGUGGGUACCAUCUAAUCAGCUACCCACACGGCUAGAAUAAAGCAGGCAGAAGAAAGUGAUCAACAGACUUGCUGAGUCUUCUGGCCUUCAUCUUUCUCCCGUGCUGGAUGCUUCCUGCCCCUGAACGUCAGACUCCAAGUUCUUCAGAUUAUGGACACUUGGACUUACACCAGUGGUUCACCAGGGGCUCUCGAGCCUUUGGCCACAGACUGAGCACCAUCCUAUUACAAAUCUGCCAGCCUACAGACUAGUAAAACGCGCUGACCCAAGAGAAAGCAAAAAGCGGCCCCUUUCCCCGGCUCCAGCGCUGCUCGGCCAGGCUUCACUUUUAAAGGCGAGCAUCAUUGGUUCAUGCGCCACAGGAAAUGGAGCCAUCACAGGACGGGCCAAAGACACCUGUCUUCUCAUCCCUCUUCUCACUUUUCACUUCAAAGGCACGCACCUCAUCAGGGAAGAAAAAGGAAAGCUGAGAGGAACUGAGACAGCAGUUUUAGGUGAUGGGUUAAUUAUGCACAGUUGUGCCUUCCUCUCUCCUUUCUCAAUCUUCGCCCCAAGUCCUGCCUCCAGGUUUAUGCUGCAGAGUGUCCGUGGAAGGGUGGCUCUUACAUGGUAGCUCUGAAAAGCUUGACAUUAUUUUACUAAGUGAAUGCAAGAAUUCUCAUGUGGGCAUCUCCACUCAUGGAUAGGAUUGCCAGAUUUAGCAAAUAAAAGUACAAUGAAAUAUCCAAUUACACUUGAAUUUCAGAUAAUCAACAAAUACUUCUUUUUCGUACAGUUAUGCCCUGUUUAACCUCUACUGUUCCACUAGGGAUAUACUUGUAUUGCGCACUUACCUGUUGUUUAUAUAAAAUUCAAAUUUAACCAGGCAUCCCACUCAUGGGGCCCCAGACCAAACGGAAGCCCCC
This 1035-nucleotide long non-coding RNA is filed under the name Homo sapiens (human). Its description in RNAcentral is "non-protein coding lnc-PRKAA2-7:1". The record is from RNAcentral. Lineage: Eukaryota; Metazoa; Chordata; Mammalia; Primates; Hominidae.